UACGUAGGGCGCAAGCGUUUGUCCGGAAUUAUUGGGCGUAAAGAGCUCGUAGGCGGCCUGUUGCGUCCGCUGUGAAAUCCCGGGGCUCAACCCCGGGCCUGCAGUGGAUACGGGCUGGCUAGAGGCAGGCAGGGGAGAACGGAAUUCCCGGGUGUAGCGGUGAAAUGCGCAGAUAUCGGGAAGAACACCCGUGGCGAAGGCGGCUCUCUGGGACGGUACUGACGCUGAGACGCGGAAA
This 238-nucleotide ribosomal RNA is filed under the name uncultured bacterium. Its description in RNAcentral is "partial 16S ribosomal RNA". It matches the Rfam family "Bacterial small subunit ribosomal RNA", at positions 524 to 759 of the family's 1533-position model. The record is from RNAcentral.